Molecule: ribosomal RNA, 274 nt
Filed under: uncultured bacterium
Lineage: Bacteria
Description: partial 16S ribosomal RNA
Rfam family: Bacterial small subunit ribosomal RNA
Source: RNAcentral
AUACGGAGGGUGCGAGCGUUGUCCGGAAUCACUGGGCGUAAAGGGCGCGUAGGCGGCGCAGUAAGUAGGGGGUGAAAUCUCACGGCUCAACCGUGAAACGGCCUCCUAAACUGCUGUGCUUGAGCACGGUAGAGGCAGAUGGAAUUCCCGGUGUAGCGGUGGAAUGCGUAGAUAUCGGGAAGAACACCAGUGGCGAAGGCGGUCUGCUGGGCCGUUGCUGACGCUGAGGCGCGACAGCGUGGGGAGCAAACAGGAUUAGAAACCCCGGUAGUCC